AACCUGGUUGAUCCUGCCAGUAGUCAUAUGCUUGUCUCAAAGACUAAGCCAUGCAUGUCUAAGUAUAAGUAUUAUACAGCGAAACUGCGAAUGGCUCAUUAAAACAGUUAUAGUUUAUUUGACAAUCGAAUUUACAUGGAUAACCGUGGUAAUUCUAGAGCUAAUACAUGCUGAUGAGCCCGACUUCGCGGAAGGGCGGUAUUUAUUAGAUUCAAACCAAUAUUCCCCAGGUCUAUGUGGUGACUCAUAAUAACUGAUCGAAUCGCAAGGCCUAGCGCCGCGAUAAGUCAUUCAAGUUUCUGCCCCAUCAGCUUUCGAUGGUAGUGUAUUGGACUACCAUGGCGUUUACGGGUAACGGAGGAUUAGGGUUCGAUUCCGGAGAGGGAGCCUGAGAAACGGCUACCACAUCUAUGGAAGGCAGCAGGCGCGUAAAUUACCCAAUCCUGACUCAGGGAGGUAGUGACAAGAAAUAACGGACCGAGGCCUUCGGGCUCUCGGGAUUGCAAUGAGCCGAAUUUACACCCCUUAGCGAGGACCGAUUGGAGGGCAAGUCUGGUGCCAGCAGCCGCGGUAAUUCCAGCUCCAAUAGCGUAUAUUAAAGUUGUUGCAGUUAAAAAGCUCGUAGUUGGAUUUCUUGGAGAGUGCCUUUGUCCGCUACGGCGUGCGCAAAGGCGCUCUUCCAUCCUUCUGUUAACGCCAUUGGGGCUUUAUUGACCUAUGGCGGGCUCAGAUAUUUUACCUUGAGAAAAUUAGAGUGUUUCACGCAG
Molecule: ribosomal RNA, 767 nt
Filed under: uncultured eukaryote
Lineage: Eukaryota
Description: bacterial SSU rRNA
Rfam family: Eukaryotic small subunit ribosomal RNA
Source: RNAcentral